GGGAGCUUGCUCCCUGAUGUUAGCGGCGGACGGGUGAGUAACACGUGGGUAACCUGCCUGUAAGACUGGGAUAACUCCGGGAAACCGGGGCUAAUACCGGAUGGUUGUUUGAACCGCAUGGUUCAGACAUAAAAGGUGGCUUCGGCUACCACUUACAGAUGGACCCGCGGCGCAUUAGCUAGUUGGUGAGGUAACGGCUCACCAAGGCAACGAUGCGUAGCCGACCUGAGAGGGUGAUCGGCCACACUGGGACUGAGACACGGCCCAGACUCCUACGGGAGGCAGCAGUAGGGAAUCUUCCGCAAUGGACGAAAGUCUGACGGAGCAACGCCGCGUGAGUGAUGAAGGUUUUCGGAUCGUAAAGCUCUGUUGUUAGGGAAGAACAAGUGCCGUUCAAAUAGGGCGGCACCUUGACGGUACCUAACCAGAAAGCCACGGCUAACUACGUGCCAGCAGCCGCGGUAAUACGUAGGUGGCAAGCGUUGUCCGGAAUUAUUGGGCGUAAAGGGCUCGCAGGCGGUUUCUUAAGUCUGAUGUGAAAGCCCCCGGCUCAACCGGGGAGGGUCAUUGGAAACUGGGGAACUUGAGUGCAGAAGAGGAGAGUGGAAUUCCACGUGUAGCGGUGAAAUGCGUAGAGAUGUGGAGGAACACCAGUGGCGAAGGCGACUCUCUGGUCUGUAACUGACGCUGAGGAGCGAAAGCGUGGGGAGCGAACAGGAUUAGAUACCCUGGUAGUCCACGCCGUAAACGAUGAGUGCUAAGUGUUAGGGGGUUUCCGCCCCUUAGUGCUGCAGCUAACGCAUUAAGCACUCCGCCUGGGGGAGUACGGUCGCAAGACUGAAACUCAAAGGAAUUGACGGGGGGCCCCGCACAAGCGGUGGAGCAUGUGGUUUAAUUC
This 898-nucleotide ribosomal RNA is filed under the name Bacillus subtilis. RNAcentral's name for it is "bacterial SSU rRNA". It matches the Rfam family "Bacterial small subunit ribosomal RNA", at positions 74 to 952 of the family's 1533-position model. Lineage: Bacteria; Bacillati; Bacillota; Bacilli; Caryophanales; Bacillaceae. The record is from RNAcentral.